Molecule: long non-coding RNA, 583 nt
Organism: Monodelphis domestica (gray short-tailed opossum)
Lineage: Eukaryota; Metazoa; Chordata; Mammalia; Didelphimorphia; Didelphidae
Source: RefSeq, a predicted model, not a curated record
UCUUCCUGGUUGUCCAGUAUUCUUACAGUAAUUUGGGGUCCAGGUUGGGGGAAGGGGGGAGAUAGGGGGAAAAUGGGAGAUUUAGCAAAUUGGAGAUUUAGGCAUCCUCAGAGUGGAUUUGUCUGUGCCUCCUUCCACCAGGAGAUGAAAAUGCCUGCUGGGCUGGGAGAUAGGUCAUGAGACUUCUAAAGGAUUACCUUCAAAAGGGAGUCAUGAGGUCCAGCUAAACAAAGGAGAGGCUCACAUGCUUGUCAUAUGGAAUUCUCUUCUUAAAAGGGGGGAGCCUCAUCUCCUUAGGGAUUUUCACCCGCCUCUACUGGGAUGAGGAAAAUGAGAGCAGAAUUUCUGAACGGGGAAAGAAAGCUGAGGCAGGGGCCCAGAGCUCAACAGCCUUCCUAUGCAUGUUAGCCAUCUCUACCAACUUUUAAAAAAUCAAACUUUCCAGCCCCAACCAGUCUCAUUUAUUGCUUUGCUAUUUGACUGAAAAGUAGAAAAAAAAAAGGAAGAUCACUCAGACAUCUUCAAGUUUGCUCAUCCUAAGAGGAAUCUUCUUUCUGAAUUAAGUAAAAAAUAAUAAGUCAAA